This 322-nucleotide ribosomal RNA is filed under the name uncultured eukaryote. RNAcentral's name for it is "partial 18S ribosomal RNA". It matches the Rfam family "Eukaryotic small subunit ribosomal RNA", at positions 1470 to 1796 of the family's 1831-position model. The record is from RNAcentral.
CCCUUAGAUGUUCUGGGCCGCACGCGUGCUACACUGAGUGGAUCAGCGGGUCAGGUUGCGCGAAAGUGUUUCCUAAUCUUGAAAUCCGCUCGUGAUGGGGAUUGACGGUUGCAAUUUUCCGUCAUGAACGAGGAAUACCUUGUAAGCGCGGGUCAUCAUCCCGCGCUGAAUACGUCCCUGCCCUUUGUACACACCGCCCGUCGCUCCUACCGAUUGAGUGGUCCGGUGAGGCUUUGGGAUCUGAGCGGAAAGAGCGUUUCGCUGUUUCUGCUCGGAAAACUCAGUCGAACCUUAUCAUUUAGAGCAAGGAGAAGUCGUAACA